GACGAACGCUGGCGGCGUGCCUAACACAUGCGAGUCGAACGGAAAGGCCCUGCUUUUGUGGGGUGCUCGAGUGGCGAACGGGUGAGUAACACGUGAGUAACCUGCCCUUGACUUUGGGAUAACUUCAGGAAACUGGGGCUAAUACCGGAUAGGAGCUCCUGCUGCAUGGUGGGGGUUGGAAAGUUUCGGCGGUUGGGGAUGGACUCGCGGCUUAUCAGCUUGUUGGUGGGGUAGUGGCUUACCAAGGCUUUGACGGGUAGCCGGCCUGAGAGGGUGACCGGCCACAUUGGGACUGAGAUACGGCCCAGACUCCUACGGGAGGCAGCAGUGGGGAAUAUUGCACAAUGGGCGGAAGCCUGAUGCAGCAACGCCGCGUGCGGGAUGACGGCCUUCGGGCUGUAAACCGCUUUCGCCUGUGACGAAGCGUGAGUGACGGUAAUGGGUAAAGAAGCACCGGCUAACUACGUG
RNAcentral lists this ribosomal RNA (468 nucleotides) under uncultured bacterium. RNAcentral describes it as "partial 16S ribosomal RNA". It matches the Rfam family "Bacterial small subunit ribosomal RNA", at positions 28 to 507 of the family's 1533-position model. The record is from RNAcentral.